AACAAGAGGUAAGGAAGAAGAGAACAAAACCACACAAGGAGUCCCUCUCUUGAGAUCAUAUUGAUGAUCCAAGUAGCUCCCAUCCUUUGGAAUAAGCAAUCAUAAGCAUAAACUUAUGCAAUCAACAAUAAAUGAAUCCCUGGAUAAGGCUCCUCAAGGUCUCCUGGAUAUCUCUCAUCUUAGAAGCUCAUGGUAAUGGUUCCUCAAUUAAGCUCAAGUUGGAACUCCUAACACAAGAAA
Molecule: long non-coding RNA, 240 nt
Filed under: Lathyrus oleraceus (garden pea)
Lineage: Eukaryota; Viridiplantae; Streptophyta; Magnoliopsida; Fabales; Fabaceae
Description: Pisum sativum (pea) long non-coding RNA (PSAT_LNC036188)
Source: RNAcentral